RNAcentral lists this small RNA (76 nucleotides) under Salix viminalis (osier). Lineage: Eukaryota; Viridiplantae; Streptophyta; Magnoliopsida; Malpighiales; Salicaceae. The record is from RNAcentral.
UAGCAACGGAUAUUCCGUUGCUAAACCAAUUCCAGAAAAAAAAAAAACAUGGUUUGCAACGGAUUAACCGUUGCAA